RNAcentral lists this ribosomal RNA (474 nucleotides) under uncultured organism. RNAcentral's name for it is "partial 16S ribosomal RNA". It matches the Rfam family "Bacterial small subunit ribosomal RNA", at positions 332 to 797 of the family's 1533-position model. The record is from RNAcentral.
UACACUCCUGCGGGAAGCAGCAGUAGGGAAUCUUCGGCAAUGGGGGCAACCCUGACCGAGCAACGCCGCGUGAGUGAAGAAGGUUUUCGGAUCGUAAAGCUCUGUUGUAAGUCAAGAACGAGUGUGAGAGUGGAAAGUUCACACUGUGACGGUAGCUUACCAGAAAGGGACGGCUAACUACGUGCCAGCAGCCGCGGUAAUACGUAGGUCCCGAGCGUUGUCCGGAUUUAUUGGGCGUAAAGCGAGCGCAGGCGGUUUGAUAAGUCUGAAGUUAAAGGCUGUGGCUCAACCAUAGUUCGCUUUGGAAACUGUCAAACUUGAGUGCAGAAGGGGAGAGUGGAAUUCCAUGUGUAGCGGUGAAAUGCGUAGAUAUAUGGAGGAACACCGGUGGCGAAAGCGGCUCUCUGGUCUGUAACUGACGCUGAGGCUCGAAAGCGUGGUGAGCGAACAGGAUUAGAAACCCCUGUAGUCCCA